AUGGGGGAGUACGCGGCGGUCAAGACGUCGGUGUGGUGGGACAUCGAGAACUGCGCCGUCCCGCGCAGCUGCGACCCCCAGCUCAUCGUCCAGAACAUGAGCUCCGCCCUCGCCACCGCCGGCUACCGCGGCCCCAUCUCCGUCUCCGCCUACGGGGACACCCACCAAAUCGCCCACAACGUCCAGCACGCCCUCUCCAGCACCGGCGUCUCCCUCCACCACGUCCCCGCCGCGAAUGCAGGCAUUAAAGAUGCAAGUGAUAAGAAGAUCUUGGUUGACAUGCUGUUCUGGGCUAUUGACAAUCCUCCACCAGCAAAUUAUCUGCUUAUCUCUGGUGACCGGGACUUCUCUCAUGCCAUUCAUAAGCUUAAAAUGAGGCGAUACAAUAUUUUAUUGGCACAACCUCCAAACGUGUCUCAAACACUUACUGCUGCAGCAAAGAGUGUUUGGCUCUGGAAAAGCCUUGUGGCUGGAGAACCACCAUUAGAACAGUCACCAUACAUAAGCAGCACAUCUUGUGGCAAUAAGGAUGAUUUGGCUACAUCAAGGAACAUUAGUUCUUUGGAUGUGACUCAAGAUGCCAACCCUGAAGUGCAGAAUAUUUUGUGUGAUCGUCAAAGCGGUUCUAACGGCAUGGCAGAUAAGAAACGUGAAGUUAAGCGACCUCGAGAAAUGGAGACAGACAAUGUGUCCAAACCAGCAAGCAAAAAGCAGCUGAAGAAGAUGAUUUGGCUGGCAAAUACCAGCACUAAGCAAACUGCUUUCAAGAAACCAAUGCAAGGGCAACUAAAAGCAGUCAAGGGGCAGGGCUUGAUCUGCUAUAAGUGUGGUGAUGGGCACCGUGCUGCAGAGUGCACCUUUAGUGGUGACUGCCACGGUUGUGGCCGACAGGGCCACAAGGAUCGAGUGUGCAAAGCAAAUCCUGACAGCAUUGUCAAGUGGCAGCUGGCACAUUCACAAGACUUAGUCAUGCCCUCACCAGGGUCUGUCUCCUGGCAGGCGAUCCCUCAUGUGCCUUCUCCACCUCCAGCUUCCCCCGUUGUGGCUGCGUCGCCACAGACAGCUGCUGAAACUCCUUCUGGCCCAACUUCGACACCACCACCGGAGUGCUUCUUGCAGGAGAGUUCUGACGUGUCAACCCCACCUCCGGCUUCUGCGGCUCUUGUACCGCCACAUACUGGUGUUGGCGAUUUUUCUGCCCCAGCUCACUCUGGAGUCUAUGCCAUGCCGACAGCUGUGUCAUUGGGUAAACCAGACGUGGUGACGCAACCGACAUCUUCAGCCCCUCAUCCUCCUACGGCGGUUCUAGCUCACCGGCCAAUGACAGGACCAGGACAGUAUCAUCAAGUGGGUGCUUCUCGCCUGUUUCCAGCUUGGACACCACCACCAUGGUGCUUCUUGCAGGCGACUCCUGCUGUGCUAAGUCCACCUCCAGCUCCUGUGCCGCCACAUACGGGUGAUGGAAAAUUUUCUGCCCCAGCUCACUCUGGAGUCCACACCAUGUCAACAGCUGUGUCAUUGGGUAAAGCAGACGUGAUGACGCAACAGGCAUCUUCAGCCCCUCAUCCUUCUACGGCAGUUCUAGCAGCUCACCAAUCAGUCACAGGACAGUAUCAUCAAGUGGGUGCUUCUCAGCUGCAACCGGCAUCUUCAGUCCCUCGUCCUCGUACGGCAAUUCUAGCUCACCAACCAGUCGCAGGACAGUAUCAUCAAGUGGGUGCUUCUCAGCUGCAUCUGGCAUCUUCAGCCCCUCAUCCUCCUACAGCGGUUCUAGCUCACCAACCAGUCGCAGGACAGUAUCAUCAAGUGGGUGCUUCUCAGCUGCAUCCAGCUUUGACAUUUCCUCCGGGGUACUUCUGGCAGGCAAUGCAACUUCUCCUGCAGCAGCGCCGCUCGUGA
Molecule: ribosomal RNA, 1899 nt
Filed under: Triticum aestivum (bread wheat)
Lineage: Eukaryota; Viridiplantae; Streptophyta; Magnoliopsida; Poales; Poaceae
Description: partial small subunit ribosomal RNA
Source: RNAcentral